Molecule: long non-coding RNA, 891 nt
Organism: Eupeodes corollae
Lineage: Eukaryota; Metazoa; Arthropoda; Insecta; Diptera; Syrphidae
Exons: 2
Source: RefSeq, a predicted model, not a curated record
CUCGUAAAUAUUCAAAUCUGGCCAGUAAAUAACAACCCCCCUUCUUCUAUCCUGGGUCGUGUCUUGGAUAAGCAAAAAUAUCCCUUGCUACAGUGGGAUACGAAGUGAGCUGUCAUCUGUCAACUUAUUCAUUUAACUUUGACAGAACCAAAAUUAUAAAUUAUUUAUUUGCAAAUUGCAACACGUUUAUCAUAUUCGCGCGUUAUAUUAAUGUUCAUUCCCGAGUAAAUAUCGGACAAAAAACAUAAAAACAUAAAAAAACAACAUAAAAACAUAGAAACCAGGAAGAAGGAUGCAAAAAACACAAACCACCCAGACGGACAGCUCCAGCACGGAAAGAAGGAACCUCCCACGCCGAAGCUAAGUAUUUUGUAUGUUUACUUAAUGGUUUUGCCACAUAAGAAUCCUUUUAUUUUGCAGGUGGCUUUCCCUUGGUCGUCCAGAAAACCUUCGGAAGAGCCCAGAAGUCUUCUGAAACCAUUCCGUUGGACUGACUGACCAAGAAGGGCAGAACACUUCUGUUUUGGAAACAGAAUCAUUCGAAGAAUGGAAGUGGAGAACGACACCAGUAUUUGUCCACAACAAAACUCCGGAUCUGGUACCAGCUACUGGAAGAACAGAGACGGUGAAGGCUGCUCCCUAAACAAACGUUGUAGUCCAAAGUGGGGAAGAACUCACGCCCCAAAGCCGGGCAUACGUGAUUUCAAGAAAGACGGUACUAUUCAUCGAGGUGAGGUUGUGAUUAAGACAUUCCUAGACUUAAGUAUCCCAAUAGUUUUAAGGUUUAAAUUAUAAGAUCAUCGAGUUAAGUCUAGUACGUAAUUUUAGUAUAAGUUCGCAUACACUCGACUAAAUAGCUUCCUGAAGCAAUAAAGACAAAACCGAUACCAA